GUAGGGAAUCUUCCACAAUGGACGCAAGUCUGAUGGAGCAACGCCGCGUGAGUGAAGAAGGUCUUCGGAUCGUAAAGCUCUGUUGUUGGUGAAGAAGGAUAGAGGCAGUAACUGGUCUUUAUUUGACGGUAAUCAACCAGAAAGUCACGGCUAACUACGUGCCAGCAGCCGCGGUAAUACGUAGGUGGCAAGCGUUGUCCGGAUUUAUUGGGCGUAAAGCGAGCGCAGGCGGAAUGAUAAGUCUGAUGUGAAAGCCCACGGCUCAACCGUGGAACUGCAUCGGAAACUGUCAUUCUUGAGUGCAGAAGAGGAGAGUGGAACUCCAUGUGUAGCGGUGGAAUGCGUAGAUAUAUGGAAGAACACCAGUGGCGAAGGCGGCUCUCUGGUCUGCAACUGACGCUGAGGCUCGAAAGCAUGGGUAGCGAACAGGAUUAGAUAC
This 439-nucleotide ribosomal RNA is filed under the name uncultured bacterium. RNAcentral describes it as "partial 16S ribosomal RNA". It matches the Rfam family "Bacterial small subunit ribosomal RNA", at positions 354 to 785 of the family's 1533-position model. The record is from RNAcentral.